GAGAGCUUAGCUUAAUUAAAGUGCUCAAUUUGAAUUUGAGUGAUGCAAGGUAAAGUCUUCUAGUUUUUA
RNAcentral lists this transfer RNA (69 nucleotides) under Sarcophilus harrisii (Tasmanian devil). It matches the Rfam family "tRNA". From Rfam's summary of the family: Transfer RNA (tRNA) molecules are approximately 80 nucleotides in length. Their secondary structure includes four short double-helical elements and three loops (D, anti-codon, and T loops). The record is from Rfam by way of RNAcentral. Lineage: Eukaryota; Metazoa; Chordata; Mammalia; Dasyuromorphia; Dasyuridae.